GACAGUUGCGCCCUCCGGCUCCUCCGGGCGCCGGGAGCCGCCUGCGGCGGGCUCGGUGCCGCGAUCGCCGGCCGGGUGAACGCGCGGGGCGGGACUAGGGCUGUGCGCAUCCUGGGCUGUCAAGUCCAGCCUGUGCCCGGGGGGAGGGGGCGUCCCCAGGGCUGCAGGCUUGGGUGGGGGCGUCGACGGGCCAGCCUAGGUUCCGAGAACGAAUCGAGGACCGUGACGAGUGCGAUGUUCGCGCCGGCUAACCUUUCCCUUGGUGUUCGGUUGCUGUUCCAGGCCGGCGCGGUGAACAAGCAGGGCGACAGCAUUCUGUGCCGCUGAGCCGCGCUGUCCAGGUGUGCGGCCGCCUGAGCCCGAGCCAGGAGCACUAGAAAGGGAGGGGGAAGAGCAGAAGUUAGAGAAAAAGCCAGCGGAGGAAAGGAAAAAAAAAUCAGCAAAUCCUAGAAACGUCUCAUUCUUCAUUCCAAGAGAGAGAGAGGGAAGAAAAAUAAAAGUUUCAUCUUUUUUUUUUGCACGUUCAUAAACAUUCUACAUACGUAUUCUCUUUUGUCUCUUCAUUUAUAACCGCUGUGAAUUGUACAUUUCUGUGUUUUUUGGAGGUGCAGUUAAACUUUUAAGCUUAAGUGUGACAGGACUGAUAAAUAGGAGAUCACGAGUAAAACCGACUUUAGAAACCUACUUUGUGACCAAGGAGCUCAAUUUUUGUUUUGAAGCUUUACUAAUAUACCAGAGCAUUGUAGAUAUUUUUUUUGACAUCUAUUGUUUAAAAUAGAUGAUUAUAAGGGGGCAGGGAACUUUCUUUUCCCUGCAAGAAUGUUACAUAUUGUAUAGAUAACUGAGUGACAUUUCAUACCAUGUAUAUAUAGAGAUGUUCUAUAAGUGUGAGAAAGUAUAUGCUUUAAUAGACUACUGUAAUUAUAAGAUAUUUUUAAUUAAAUAUUUUUUGUAAAUAUUAUGUGUGUGUUUUUUUUAAUCAUGCAAAUAUUUCUUUUGGAAAAUUAUUUUUCAGCUCAGUUGAAGAGCUCUUGAUAUCUUGAAUGUCUUUUCUGUUUGGCCUGGCUUUUAAUUUGUUUUUGUUUUGCCCAGUGUCUUGUAGACUCGGAAGUAACAGUUAUAGCUAGUGGUCUUGCAUGACUGCAUGAGAUGUUUAAUCACAAAAUAAACUUGUUCUGAGUCCAUUCAGAUGUGUUUUCUUUAACCUAGAUUGAAAUCUUUGUAUUUGAAGCAUACACGUUGAAAAUAUGCUCUAUCAGUUUUUACGUACAGGGUUUGAUAGUGUAAUAUAUAAAGAGUAAGUGUUUGUUUUUCAUUUCUUAACUGAGGUCAACAUGGAUUCUGAAUGAUUUUGCAUAUGGGAUGGGGAAAUGUUUGGAUCCUUAUGAGCUUAUGAAAUCUACUGUUUUAUCAAAGUGAAAAAAAUGCUUAUCAUUCUUCAUUUUACACUGAAGUUUAAUGUCACUAAGUUUCAUGUCUGUACAGAUUAUUUAAAUCAUAAGAAUGAAAAAUGUUCUCUGCUUGCUACCAAAGGACAAACUCUUGGAAAUGAACACUUUCUGCUUUCCUUCCUCCAAAGAAUAUUAAUAGGCAACAGUGAGAGAAAAAAAAAUCUGAAAGGCAUAAUGGCAAAUCCUUCAAGCAGGGAUAAAAGUCGAUCUUCAAACAUUAACUUAAGUAGACCAAAAAUUCUGAUGACCGCAUCUAGAUUAUUUUUUUAUAAAAAUGAUUUUCACUAUAGCUAUGUUAGUUAACCGCUAAACUACUGUCCAAUCUCUUGUGAUGUGUAACUUUUACAUGUGAAUAUUAAAGUAGAUUUAUCUGUCUUGUACUGUGAUUUCUGGUCUCAUUUCUUCAAACCUUACACUUACUUUUGAGACUUUAUUUUGUCUUUAAGGAAGGUACCAUUUUGUAGGUUAGACAGGACCAUCAGGGCUUGUGAACAUUUUGAAUUUAAUGUGAUCAGGACUCUACACACCAGUUAGAUGGAAUUUUUAGAGUGUGAGAGAAUUAAGUAGGAUUUAAUUGGGUGCUUUGUAAAUAGUUAGUCAACUGUGUGUGUAACGUGGUCUGUUUGAUUUUUAAAAGGAAAGGAUUUGUUUCAGAUUAUACAAGAAUAAAAGUAUUAUAGACCCAAGGGAAUUUUUAUGAGGUCGAAGUCAAAUAUUUAUGUGAAUAUGAAAUAUCAUGGCCCUGAGUAGUCAGUCGAAGUAGCAACGUCUCAACAGAAAUGAACAAAGUUAACGCUUACUGGUUUAAAAAAAAAAUUGAAAGAUUUUAAAAAUCUAUCCCCUCUCUCCAGCAUGUUCUCCCCUCGGCUUUGACAUUUCACUGGUCUUAGGUAUUUUUAGAAUUUGAUGUAUUUGCUGUUGCGCCUUCUAAAGUCAAAGGGCUGCUUGUUUAGAUGAGGUUUUAUUUUUAUUUUUGAUAUUCAUUCCUGUCACACAUCAAGAGGAAAACACAAGAACACUGCUGGAAUUCCAAAUCUGAAGAAUUCUAAUGAUGGCAUUCUUUGUUAAUAAGAAAGGGGACAAUUCCUCCUUUUUAUUUGGCAGUUUAAUUUCAGUAGGAAGCAAGUCACAUGGGCUCUGUUGGUUGGAGUCAGGCAUCUGUCAGACCUGACUACCGUACCCUACCUAAGCCUUUAAGCACAGUUUAAACUUAUGCUGGGAGAUUAUGCACCUCAAUAUAAAUAUUUUUGAUUUUUUGAAGAUAGGUGUUGCUCCUUAGUUAAUUUCAUAUUUUAGGCAUGAAAACCACUAAAGGAAGAAAAGUGCUAGAGAUGUGACAUUUGAGAGACUUGGCAUUUUCCCAUCUGCCACUCACACAGCAUUGGAUGUCUCUAAAGAAACAAAGUCACUGUUUAUUUUUCAAAAAUUAUGUGCAGUUGUAUAAGAUAACACAUUCUAUUAGAUGUUGGCUGUGUCCUAAUCAAGUGACCAGAUAACAAAAACAUUUUGAGUCAUUUAUCUAGGUAGCUCUAAUUAUUCAGAUCUUUGGUUUCAUAGAGGAAAACAUCCUGACUUCUCUCAUUUAAUUUGUCCACUUUUAUUGAAUAGGCACAACCAAAGAGUGAGAAUCAUUUAAAACCGUCAAA
Molecule: non-coding RNA, 3097 nt
Organism: Vicugna pacos (alpaca)
Lineage: Eukaryota; Metazoa; Chordata; Mammalia; Artiodactyla; Camelidae
Source: RefSeq, a predicted model, not a curated record